Molecule: ribosomal RNA, 477 nt
Filed under: uncultured bacterium
Lineage: Bacteria
Description: bacterial SSU rRNA
Rfam family: Bacterial small subunit ribosomal RNA
Source: RNAcentral
GACGAACGCUGGCGGCGUGCCUAACACAUGCAAGUCGAGCGAAAUAUGUUGCUUCACUAAUGGCUCAAGAAUCAGACCUCAAGCACGAAGUGCUUCACGCUGAUUUACCAAGUGACAACACACUAAUUGAGUAAUUAGUGAAGCGACAUAUUAGCGGCGGACGGUGAGUAACGCGUGAGCAAUCUGCCUUACACAAAGGGAUAGCCUCGGGAAACUGGGAUUAAUACCAUAUGACACUUGGUAAUCGCAUGAGGACCAAGUCAAAGAUUUAUCGGUGUAAGAUGAGCUCGCUCUGAUUAGCUAGUUGGUGGGUAAAGGACUACCAAGGCGACGAUCAGUAGCCGGCCUGAGAGGGUGAACGGCCACACUGGAAUGAGACACGGUCCAGAACUCCUACGGGAGGCAGCAUGGGGGAAAUAAUUCAACAAGUAGGGCGGCGAACGACCGUACGAUGCGAGACGACGGACCGGCCGGCCG